AUUGAACGCUGGCGGAAUGCUUUACACAUGCAAGUCGAACGGCAGCACGGGAGCUUGCUCCUGGUGGCGAGUGGCGAACGGGUGAGUAAUGCGUCGGAACGUGCCGAGUAAUGGGGGAUAACGCAGCGAAAGUUGUGCUAAUACCGCAUACGCCCUGAGGGGGAAAGUGGGGGAUCGCAAGACCUCACGUUAUUCGAGCGGCCGACGUCUGAUUAGCUAGUUGGUGGGGUAAAGGCCUACCAAGGCGACGAUCAGUAGCGGGUCUGAGAGGAUGAUCCGCCACACUGGGACUGAGACACGGCCCAGACUCCUACGGGAGGCAGCAGUGGGGAAUUUUGGACAAUGGGCGCAAGCCUGAUCCAGCCAUGCCGCGUGCAGGAAGAAGGCCUCGGUUGUAACGUAGCUUUGUUCUAGGGAA
This 418-nucleotide ribosomal RNA is filed under the name uncultured bacterium. RNAcentral's name for it is "bacterial SSU rRNA". It matches the Rfam family "Bacterial small subunit ribosomal RNA", at positions 30 to 447 of the family's 1533-position model. The record is from RNAcentral.